RNAcentral lists this transfer RNA (67 nucleotides) under Marmota monax (woodchuck). Its description in RNAcentral is "tRNA.Ala". Lineage: Eukaryota; Metazoa; Chordata; Mammalia; Rodentia; Sciuridae. The record is from RNAcentral.
GGCUGUGGCUCAGUGGUAGAGUGCUUGCCUAGCAUGUGUGAGGCACUGGGUUUUAUUCUCAGCACCA